AAUUAACACAAGAUAAUGAACGGAAUGUUUUCAUAAAUUUAUGAAACAAAUAUAGAACAUAUGAAUAGAAGCAACCGACGUGGAAAAAAAAAUAAUGAUAACAAUAAUAAAAAGGAAAAACAGACCCCCUUCCCCUACCGGAUAUUAUUAAAGCAAAAGCCUUUCGACGUGGCAAGAGGAAGCCCGAAAAUUCCUCCAGCAGGAGACUUCAUCGAGACUUGUUGACACACACAAAACAUUAAGACGCCCGUUUGGCCAUAAUGACAAAUUACCUCCAUACAAACAACCACUUAAUUGUUGUUUGCUCUGUUUGUGAUGUGUACUUUCAUGUCAGCUCCCCCUUCGGCCUCCCUCCCUCCCUCCCUCCCCUUCAUCCAUCCUCCCGCGAAGCAACGGUCGAGAACACUUAAGGAGAAAGCGCGUGUGCGAACGACACGCAUUGACACACUACACACUACUGUGUUCUGUGUCAAGGUUCUUCAAAUUACGGGUCGCGAUCUUGUACUGGGUCGCAAGCUCUUGUUCAGUGGGUCGCCACAGAAUCCCCCUGUAAGCUAGAUUGGGAUAAGAUAACCAACAACAAGCAGGCACACCAAUCACACAGAACAGGGUGGUUUCUGUGAGCAAAAUAACACGUCGUGACCCUCCUAACACAGAGACCUUCAGAUGGCAAAAAGCUGAUCGUUGCCCCCUAAGAAAGCAAGCAUGGCCGGACACCCAGAAAGAAAGAAAAAAAAGAGAAAGACAAACUACAGUGUUUACUGAUGAUGAUGCCAAAAGGCUGAUCUAUCUUAAAAAAAAAAAAAAAAAGCAAGGACACCCUCCCCCCUCUCAAAAAAAAGAGGAAAUCUCAGAAAUUCAAACUACGUCUCACAUUCCCACUUUUGUGACCUCUGACCCAUGUUAAAAAUAAAAAAAAUAUAUGCUUAUGUCAAGGAAAGUUUAUAGUUUGUUCACGAUUUUGGUAUGCGAUAUAAUUAGCUUUUCUAAGGAUUUUUUAUUUAUAUGUUUAUUUGUUUAUUGUUUUUUUCUUUCUCCUGUAGCACGCAUCCGUGCGUGCUUGCGUACGUGUGUGUGUGUGGAGGGGGUUUCGUUUGUGUGUGCGUUUGAGGGAGAAGUAAAGGAUAUAGAGAAUGUAAGAAAAGAAGAGAUAGAAAAAGAGAGAGACAGACA
This is a long non-coding RNA of Penaeus monodon (black tiger shrimp), 1173 nucleotides long. RefSeq lists it as uncharacterized. The transcript has 3 exons. NCBI's taxonomy places the organism in Eukaryota, Metazoa, Arthropoda, Malacostraca, Decapoda, Penaeidae. The record is from RefSeq and is a predicted model, not a curated record.